This is a long non-coding RNA of Chelonia mydas (Green sea turtle), 1091 nucleotides long. RefSeq lists it as uncharacterized. The transcript has 4 exons. The record is from RefSeq and is a predicted model, not a curated record. NCBI's taxonomy places the organism in Eukaryota, Metazoa, Chordata, Testudines, Cheloniidae.
CUCAGCCCGGCUCUCUCCCAGGGCUGGCUUUUGAGCCCCACGGAGCUGGAGAGAGUGUCUGUGUGUCUACUUGGGCUGCCUAGCUGGCUCUUCCUUUCUGGCUGCCCUGGGCUGUUGCUGCUGGCUGGAGCUCUCUCCUUCCUCAGAGGACUGCUGCUGUUGCUGAGGAGCUGCUGGAUCCUGGAGCAGGAAGAGGACUAAUAGGACCAUUGGUUGCUGGGGGAGUGUACGGAGACUCUGGAGACCACUGUGGAGGGACCAAUAAGGAGGAGGUUGACACUGUGCAAUCCUUACCAAAAAUCGUCAGUGAGUGAAUUCUGGGUCUCCAGGACUGAAAACAAGAGACACUGUCUUUUCUUACCCAUGGAGAGUCAAGCUAUGUCUUUUUGCCAAUAGCUAUGAGGAGUAAAAUCAAUUUCUUUGAUGUCCAUGACUUGGAGUCACUAUUUGGGAAAAAGAUUUGUAAUGCAAAACUGGCAGCAACUGUUUCACUAUAGAGAUCCUUAGAAUUAUAAAAAUCACGUUUGUGUUUUAAAAUGUUAGAGGAACACAGAUAUGGUUCCUACAGUCAAACUGAAGUUCCCCUGAGGAAAGACAAGGAGAAGAUCAGAUGUGGUUUAUUUUACUAUGGGAGCUGGGGGAGAAAACCUUUCAGAGAGUUUGGUACAUAGGUAUAAACACACAGUGCAGCUAGUCCAAUGAGAUAUUGAGUGCCCUCAACUGCCACUGAGGUGGGGAUGCCCAGCGCCUUGCAGGAUCAUGUUUUUAUAAUUAUCUACUGUAGAGUCAGUUCUUGGACCUUGCAAAUUGGGUGAACAUCUGGAUUUUGUCACUGGUGCCAAAAAUGUAGUUUAGACUCUGAUCACGCAUUUUAAGGACAAACAGUUCAAUAUCCUUGGAAGAGCAAAGCUGCUUCUUGUCCCAAAACAUUCAAAUUCUCCUAUGUGUUACUUCCAUUUCAUGGGUUAAAGACAGCACAAAGUGAAUAAUCUUGUGAUUUAAUAACCUGAACCCCAAACACUGAAGGCACCUAAUGUGUUCAUUUGAAAUUGACAUCUUACCCUUGGAAACUGCACAUUUCUAAAGAGCAA